Molecule: long non-coding RNA, 310 nt
Filed under: Prunus persica (peach)
Lineage: Eukaryota; Viridiplantae; Streptophyta; Magnoliopsida; Rosales; Rosaceae
Description: long non-coding RNA (PPER_LNC002009)
Source: RNAcentral
AAAGAUGCACUCACCUUUAGUGCGACCUCAUAAAAAGAACUUCACAUAAAUAGUAGCAUUGUCCCAAUCAUCUUCACUUGGUUGUCCAACCCUAAUAUGGUUACUAUUACUCACAACUACACCAUCCUCAUCAACUUCAUGUUCUCGUUCCUUGAACUAAGCCAAGAAAGGGUUGUCAUCAUCCUCUCCCAUUCUUACAAAAGCUUUUUUUAUAUUUGAAGGCUGCAUCCAAUAUUAUAAAUGUUCAAUUCUGCCUUGUGGGGACAUCCAUGCAAACCAUGCCUUUGAUGGACAGUCCCUUUGAGUCCAC